UCCUACGGGGCGCAGCAGUGGGGAAUAUUGCACAAUGGGGGAAACCCUGAUGCAGCGACGCCGCGUGAGCGAGGAAGUAUUUCGGUAUGUAAAGCUCUGUCAGCAGGGAAGAAGAAUGACGGUACCUGAAGGAGAAGCACCGGCUAAAUACGUGCCAGCAGCCGCGGUAAUACGUAUGGUGCAAGCGUUAUCCGGAUUUACUGGGUGUAAAGGGAGCGCAGGCGGUUCUGCAAGACUGAUGUGUAAGCCCCGCGGGCAACC
This 261-nucleotide ribosomal RNA is filed under the name uncultured bacterium. RNAcentral's name for it is "partial 16S ribosomal RNA". It matches the Rfam family "Bacterial small subunit ribosomal RNA", at positions 337 to 614 of the family's 1533-position model. The record is from RNAcentral.